GCAUGCAAGUCGAGGGGGCCUUCGGGCCCCGGCAGUAAUGGGUAGUAACGCGUAGGAACAUACCCCAGAGACAGGGAUAACCGUAGGAAACUACGGCUAAUACCUGAUAGUCUCGCAAGAGUAAAGUUUUUUCGCUCUGGGAGUGUCCUGCGUCGCAUCAGCUUGUUGGUAAGGUAACGGCUUACCAAGGCUACGACGCGUAGGGGGGCUGAGAGGCUGAUCCCCACCAAUGGAACUGAAACACGGUCCAUACUCCUACGGGAGGCUGCAGUCGAGAAUCGUCCGCAAUGCUCGAAAGAGUGACGGCGCGACGUCGCGUGGUGGAUGAAGCGCUUCGGCGUGUAAACACCUUUUCUGAAGGAAGAAGUUUAUUGACAUUACUUCAGGUAAUAAGGGGCUCCCAAAUUCGUGCCAGCAGGAGCGGUAACACGAAUGCCCCAAGCGUUAUCCGGAAUUACUGGGCGUAAAGGGUCCGCAGGCGGCCUAAUUAGUCUGGCGUUAAAUCACGAGGCUUAACCUCGUGGCUGCGUCAGAAACGGUUAGGCUUGAGGAUGUGAGAGGUGAGUGGAACCGACGGUGUAGGGGUGAAAUCCGUUGAUAUCGUCGGGAACACCGAAAGCGAAGGCAACUCACUGGCACAUUCCUGACGCUCAUGGACGACAGCUAAGGUAGCGAACGGGAUUAGAUACCCCGGUAGUCUUAGCCGUAAACGCUGUCCACUAGCUUUGGGGAGUAUCGACCCUCUCCGAGGCGAAGCUAACGCGUUAAGUGGACCGCCUGG
This 781-nucleotide ribosomal RNA is filed under the name uncultured bacterium. RNAcentral's name for it is "bacterial SSU rRNA". It matches the Rfam family "Bacterial small subunit ribosomal RNA", at positions 53 to 876 of the family's 1533-position model. The record is from RNAcentral.